CCUUCCUUCUAGUUAACUUAUUUUUUUAUGUUUUCCUCUAAUUUAGCCAAAUCCUAUUAUGGACAAUUAAACUUGCACUAAUGAGCAAGAUUAUUUUAUAUAGCAAAGCUUCUAUACAAUACAAAAUAUUAUGGAGGAUAAAACAGGAAGAUCACAAAUUGAAGGUCAGCCUAGAAUAUAUAUCAAUACUCUAAAACUUUAUUUACAUAUUGAAACUAUGGUUCAAAAGCUAAUACUUGCUUGCCCUAGCAUGGUAGCUCAUGGUGGCUCAGCAGGCAGGAAGCUAAGACAGGAAAAUUGCCACUAAUUCAGAG
This is a long non-coding RNA of Peromyscus leucopus (white-footed mouse), 314 nucleotides long. RefSeq lists it as uncharacterized. The transcript is spliced from 2 exons. Lineage: Eukaryota; Metazoa; Chordata; Mammalia; Rodentia; Cricetidae. The record is from RefSeq and is a predicted model, not a curated record.